Molecule: ribosomal RNA, 497 nt
Filed under: uncultured bacterium
Lineage: Bacteria
Description: partial 16S ribosomal RNA
Rfam family: Bacterial small subunit ribosomal RNA
Source: RNAcentral
GAUGAACGCUGGCGGCGUGCCUAAUACAUGCAAGUCGAGCGAACAGACGAGGAGUUUGCUCCUUUGACGUUAGCGGCGGACGGGUGAGUAACAUGUGUAUAAUCUACCUAUAAGACUGGGAUAACUUCGGGAAACCGGCGCUAAUACCGGAUAAUAUAUUGAACCGCAUGGUUCAAUAGUGAAAGACGGUUUUGCUGUCACUUAUAGAUGGAUCUGCGCCGCAUUAGCUAGUUGGUAAGGUAACGGCUUACCAAGGCAACGAUGCGUAGGCGAACUGAUAGAGUGGUCGGCCGCAUGAGAAGUGGACCGGGGUCCUUGGGCCUGAGGGAGGCAGCAGUCGGGAAUGGGCGGCAGUGGGCGAGAGUAUGACAGAACAACGCGACGUGAGAGGUGAAGGUGUUGCGUUCGUGAUACUCUGUUAUUGGGUGAAAACAAAUGUGUAAGGAACUGAACACGUCUUGACGGUACCGGGUCAGAAAGCCACGGCUAACUACGUG